RNAcentral lists this ribosomal RNA (622 nucleotides) under uncultured bacterium. Its description in RNAcentral is "bacterial SSU rRNA". The stretch from base 1 to 521 matches the Rfam family "Bacterial small subunit ribosomal RNA", at positions 338 to 873 of the family's 1533-position model. The record is from RNAcentral.
CCUACGGGAGGCAGCAGUGGGGAAUCUUGCGCAAUGGGCGAAAGCCUGACGCAGCCAUGCCGCGUGAAUGAUGAAGGUCUUAGGAUUGUAAAAUUCUUUCACCGGGGACGAUAAUGACGGUACCCGGAGAAGAAGCCCCGGCUAACUUCGUGCCAGCAGCCGCGGUAAUACGAAGGGGGGCUAGCGUUGCUCGGAAUUACUGGGCGUAAAGGGAGCGUAGGCGGAUAGUUUAGUCAGAGGUGAAAGCCCAGGGCUCAACCUUGGAAUUGCCUUUGAUACUGGCUAUCUUGAGUAUGGGAGAGGUUAGCGGAACUCCGAGUGUAGAGGUGAAAUUCGUAGAUAUUCGGAAGAACACCAGUGGCGAAGGCGGCUAACUGGCCCAUUACUGACGCUGAGGCUCGAAAGCGUGGGGAGCAAACAGGAUUAGAUACCCUGGUAGUCCACGCCGUAAACGAUGAGUGCUAGUUGUCGGCAUGCAUGCAUGUCGGUGACGCGAGCUACGACAUUAAGACACCUCCGCCGUCGGGGAGGUACGGUCGGCGAAGAAGUUAAACUAACUAAAGUAGUUAAGUUAGUACGGUUCGUUGAGACGUUGCCGACGGACGACGACGAGGGGAGGAGG